GUCCUCUUGGAUUAAAUUUGAGGUUUAACCUGCCCACUGAAAUAUUUAAAUGGCCGCAGUAAUUUGACUGUGCAAAGGUAGCAUAAUCAUUAGUUUUUUAAUUAAAAGCUUGUAUGAAGGGUUGGACGAGGUAAAAUCUGUCUCUAUUUAAUUUAUAAUAAAAUUUAAUUUUUAAGUUAAAAAGCUUAAAUAUUAUUAAAAGACGAGAAGACCCUAUAGAUCUUUAUAUUAUUUAAAUUAAUUUUAAUAUAGAAUUUUUAAUUUUUUAUUUUGAAUAAUAUUUUAUUGGGGUAAUAAAAAGAUUUAAUAAAUUCUUUUUAAAUUAUACAUUGAUAUAUGAUUAAAUGAUCCAAUUUUUUUGAUUAAAAGAUUAAGUUACCUUAGGGAUAACAGCGUAAUUUUUUUAAAGAGUUCAUAUCGAUAAAAAAGUUUGCGA
This 436-nucleotide ribosomal RNA is filed under the name Graphoderus austriacus. RNAcentral's name for it is "partial 16S ribosomal RNA". Lineage: Eukaryota; Metazoa; Arthropoda; Insecta; Coleoptera; Dytiscidae. The record is from RNAcentral.